Molecule: ribosomal RNA, 496 nt
Filed under: uncultured bacterium
Lineage: Bacteria
Description: partial 16S ribosomal RNA
Rfam family: Bacterial small subunit ribosomal RNA
Source: RNAcentral
GAUGAACGCUGGCGGCGUGCCUAAUACAUGCAAGUCGAGCGAACAGACGAGGAGCUUGCUCCUCUGACGUUAGCGGCGGACGGGUGAGUAACACGUGGAUAACCUACCUAUAAGACUGGGAUAACUUCGGGAAACCGGAGCUAUACCGGAUAAUAUAUUGAACCGCAUGGUUUAAUAGUUAAAGACGGUUUUGCUGUCAACUAUAGAUGGAUCCGCGCCGCAUUAGCUAGUUGGUAAGGUAACGGCUUACCAAGGCAACGAUGCGUAGCCGACCUGAGAGGGUGAUCGGCCACACUGGAACUGAGACACGGUCCAGACUCCUACGGGAGGCAGCAGUAGGGAAUCUUCCGCAAUGGGCGAAAGCCUGACGGAGCAACGCCGCGUGAGUGAUGAAGGUCUUCGGAUCGUAAAACUCUGUUAUUAGGGAAGAACAAAUGUGUAAGUAACUAUGCACGUCUUGACGGUACCUAAUCAGAAAGCCACGGCUAACUACGUG